UGGGAAUUUUGGACAAUGGGCGCAAGCCUGAUCCAGCCAUGCCGCGUGCGGGAAGAAGGCCUUCGGGUUGUAAACCGCUUUUGUCAGGGAAGAAAUCUUCUGAGUUAAUACCUCGGGAGGAUGACGGUACCUGAAGAAUAAGCACCGGCUAACUACGUGCCAGCAGCCGCGGUAAUACGUAGGGUGCAAGCGUUAAUCGGAAUUACUGGGCGUAAAGCGUGCGCAGGCGGUUUUGUAAGACAGAGGUGAAAUCCCCGGGCUCAACCUGGGAACUGCCUUUGUGACUGCAAGGCUUGAGUGCGGCAGAGGGGGAUGGAAUUCCGCGUGUAGCAGUGAAAUGCGUAGAUAUGCGGAGGAACACCGAUGGCGAAGGCAAUCCCCUGGGCCUGCACUGACGCUCAUGCACGAAAGCGUGGGGAGCAAACAGGAUUAGAUACCCUGGUAGUCCACGCCCUAAACGAUGUCAACUGGUUGUUGGGAAGGUUCCUUCUCAGUAACGUAGCUAACGCGUGAAGUUGACCGCCUGGGGAGUACGGCCGCAAGGUUGAAACUCAAAUGAAUUGACGGGGUCAUAGC
This 576-nucleotide ribosomal RNA is filed under the name uncultured bacterium. RNAcentral's name for it is "partial 16S ribosomal RNA". It matches the Rfam family "Bacterial small subunit ribosomal RNA", at positions 356 to 925 of the family's 1533-position model. The record is from RNAcentral.